This 794-nucleotide ribosomal RNA is filed under the name uncultured bacterium. RNAcentral's name for it is "bacterial SSU rRNA". It matches the Rfam family "Bacterial small subunit ribosomal RNA", at positions 8 to 796 of the family's 1533-position model. The record is from RNAcentral.
AGAGUUUGAUCCUGGCUCAGAAUGAACGUUGGCGGCGUGGAUUAGGCAUGCAAGUCGAACGAAAAGUCUCCUUCGGGAGGCGGAAAGUGGCAAACGGGGUAGGAAGGCGUAGGUGACGUACCCUUGGGACUGGGAUAGCCACGGGAAACUGUGGGUAAUACCAGAUAAUCUCCUUGAACGUGGUAGUUUGGGGAGCAAAGGUGAGAUUCCACCUGAGGAGCGGCUUACGUAGUAUUAGCUUGUUGGUGAGGUAACGGCUCACCAAGGCUACGAUGCUUAGGGGGUGUUAGCGCAUGACCCCCACCACUGGGACUGAGAUACUGCCCAGACACCUACGGGUGGCUGCAGUCGAGGAUCUUCGGCAAUGGGCGCAAGCCUGACCGAGCGACGCCGCGUGUGGGAUGAAGGCCCUUGGGUUGUAAACCACUGUCAGAGGGGAUGAAGUGCCGGGAGGCUAUCCUUCCGGUUUGACAUAGCCUCAGAGGAAGCACGGGCUAAGUUCGUGCCAGCAGCCGCGGUAAUACGAACUGUGCAAACGUUAUUCGGAAUCACUGGGCUUAAAGGGUGCGUAGGCGGCUGUCUAAGUAGGGUGUGAAAGCCCCCGGCUCAACCGGGGAAUUGCGCCCUAAACUGGAUGGCUGGAGUGAGGCAGGGGUGUGUGGAACUUCCGGUGGAGCGGUGAAAUGUGUUGAUAUCGGAAGGAACGCCGGUGGCGAAAGCGACACACUGGGUCUCAACUGACGCUGAGGCACGAAAGCCAGGGGAGCAAACGGGAUUAGAUACCCUAGUAGUCC